CAUCUCUUUCACCAGGCUUGAUGUAGAAACUGCAAGUUCAAUGAGUAAAAUUGGUUCCGAUCUCGGGUAUUCUUGAACGGAAAAGGUGACAUGACCUCUCCGGUUCCCAAAUAGGGUUCCGGUGACUUUCCGUCCGAGCGAGGGUGUUAUCGACAAUUGGGUUGAAAUAUGAAGCAAUCUGCAACUAAGAAGAAUCGUGGGGAAUGAGCUAAUAUGAAGGAGUGAUCGAAGAAGUCCCGAGAAUCCAGUGCGGGCUCUGUGGCAGGUGNCGGUGACUUUCUGUCCGAGCGAGGGUGUUAUCAACAAUUGGGUUGAAAUAUUAAGCAAUCUGCAAGUGGGAAGAAUCGUGGGGAAUGAGCUAAUAUGAAGGAGUGAUCGAAGAAGUCCCGAGAAUCCAGUGCGGACUCUGUGGCAGGCGGCGAUUAUGUAAUUUGCUGGGAUGAUAAUGUUGUUAUUUUUGCAGCUACUGGUCCUAGGAAGAGUCUCAACUGCUUGUUUAUGUCUCAUGAUGUUCGUCUUAAACUGAAUAUAGUCGAAAAGCAAUAGAAUUUGUUGAUCAAGAUUUACGUAUGUGUGAAAUUGUUCUCUGAGUUAUCCCUGUAUGAGAGAGAGAGAAAGAGAGAGAUUAUUGGAAUUAAUAUUAUCGAGAGAAGAUGCUGGUUUCAACACAUAAUGAGAGAAAAAGUUCUAUCAUUUUAUUUGUGCAAGAGAGAGAGAGUGAGAUUCUUGGAAUUAACAUGAUCGAGGGAAGAUGCUGGUUUCAACACAUAAUGAGAGAACAAGUUCUAUCGUUUUAUUUGUGUGUGAGUGUGUGUGUGUG
This 820-nucleotide long non-coding RNA is filed under the name Olea europaea subsp. europaea. Lineage: Eukaryota; Viridiplantae; Streptophyta; Magnoliopsida; Lamiales; Oleaceae. The record is from RNAcentral.